This 314-nucleotide ribosomal RNA is filed under the name Escherichia coli. RNAcentral's name for it is "partial 23S ribosomal RNA". It matches the Rfam family "Bacterial large subunit ribosomal RNA", at positions 2617 to 2925 of the family's 2925-position model. Lineage: Bacteria; Pseudomonadati; Pseudomonadota; Gammaproteobacteria; Enterobacterales; Enterobacteriaceae. The record is from RNAcentral.
CGUCGUGAGACAGUUCGGUCCCUAUCUGCCGUGGGCGCUGGAGAAUUGAGGGGGGCUGCUCCUAGUACGAGAGGACCGGAGUGGACGCAUCACUGGUGUUCGGGUUGUCAUGCCAAUGGCACUGCCCGGUAGCUAAAUGCGGAAGAGAUAAGUGCUGAAAGCAUCUAAGCACGAAACUUGCCCCGAGAUGAGUUCUCCCUGACUCCUUGAGAGUCCUGAAGGAACGUUGAAGACGACGACGUUGAUAGGCCGGGUGUGUAAGCGCAGCGAUGCGUUGAGCUAACCGGUACUAAUGAACCGUGAGGCUUAACCUU